RNAcentral lists this ribosomal RNA (395 nucleotides) under uncultured bacterium. RNAcentral describes it as "bacterial SSU rRNA". It matches the Rfam family "Bacterial small subunit ribosomal RNA", at positions 28 to 417 of the family's 1533-position model. The record is from RNAcentral.
GACGAACGCUGGCGGCGUGCUUAACACAUGCAAGUGGAGCGACGAACCAGGGCUUGCCCUGGGGCAGAGCCGCGAACGGGUGAGUAACACGUGGGUAACGUACCCCGAUGACUGGGACAACCCGGGGAAACCCGGGCUAAUACCGGAUGUCCACCCUCACAUCAGUGAGGUGUGUAAAGGAAGCUUCGGCCUCCGCGUUGGGAUCGGCCCGCGGCGCAUUAGCUUGUUGGUGAGGUAACGGCUCACCAAGGCCGCGAUGCGUAGCUGGUCUGAGAGGACGAUCAGCCACACUGGGACUGAGACACGGCCCAGACUCCUACGGGAGGCAGCAGUGGGGAAUCUUGCGCAAUGCGCGAAAGCGUGACGCAGCAACGCCGCGUGGGGGAAGAAGGCCU